UGCGCAUAAUGGUCACCUGGGCCUUCGGCAAACACUGACCCCUGCCCAGCCGCUGCCCUGGCCCCUCGCCACGUCCCUCUGGAAAAGAUCCAGUAGCAGAGCCAGGUUCUCAAACUGGGUCCCAUGGUCAACCGAGCCCCAUCUUCUUCUUUGGACUGGAGUUGGUGCAAAGCCACCCGGGUGCAUCCUGAUUUUUCCCUCUUGCACUUAGGGCUUUUCUCAUGGAUAUGAAAAGGUUUUCUUUCUUUGCUCUCUUUGUACUGAGAGGUGAGUGAUGAUAGCAGUGCUAUUGUAGAGUAAAAGUUAGACAGUGAGAGUGGGUGACUGGGGUGCAUCUGAACAGAGGGCCCGUGGCAGCAGGUGUACCACCUGGGCUGGACCUGAACCUGCCACUGGAGUAACUGCAGUAUCCAGGGUGGCACUUCUCUUCCCUUCCUAACUGGGGUUGAUCCCGGUUUGCUUUAUAGAGGCCACGUUGUUACAGGUCCCUCCUGGACGCCGAGGCAAUGAAACGCCAAAAUCCAAUGGUGACUUGGCCAUUUGCUGCCCGAGGGACCCUCAGAGAAUCCAGGCCAAAUUAGAGGCCAAUGGCCCCUAGAUGCCCAUGAUGAUGGCUUUUGGGAUAGGAAGGAAACUGUAGGAGUGAGGAAGACCUUAUCCUUUGACUCCUGGCACUAAUCAACAACGAUUAAGUUCAAAUGAGUGGAUUAAGUAGCUGGGGAAUGUCAAGUGCAGUAGGCCCUCGACGAGCAAACACAGUGCAGAAGAGUCCUCCUGUCACAGCCUGAAGCUGGAGAUUAUUGGGCAAAAGAAAAAGAGAAAUGGUGGUGGUGGAGGGAAGGCUCAAAAGCAUCAUGAGUUGAACAGAGAAGUGAAGAAAAGUAAUUUGAGGUCAGCAUGGAGCCUUCCCAGGAUACAAAAGUGCUCUGGAAUGUUAGCAAGAGUGGAAGACACUCUUCCUGUCCCUGGAAAGCCGACCUCCCAGGGGGUGUUGGGAGAAGAGAGAAUAAUUAAAUAGUGUGAGCAGGGCUUCAGGAGACCACGGGGAUCGUGCAGG
This 1057-nucleotide long non-coding RNA is filed under the name Canis lupus dingo (dingo). RNAcentral describes it as "lncRNA (ENSCAFG00020018545.1)". Lineage: Eukaryota; Metazoa; Chordata; Mammalia; Carnivora; Canidae. The record is from RNAcentral.